ACCCGCACCAACUUUACCGAUCAUCUCUAUGAUGCUUUAAGUAGGAGUGGGAUCGUCACUUUCAGGGAUGAUCCAAAGCUGGAGGCCGGGGAAGAGAUCGCGCCAGAACUCUUUAAAGCAAUUCAGCAAUCAUGGUGCUCGGUAAUCGUUUUUUCACAAACUUAUGCCUUUUCAAGUUGGUGCUUGGAGGAGCUUGCUGAGAUUGUUAAACAACAUAAUAACGACGGCCAUAAAGUGUUUCCAAUUUUUUACGAUGUUGAUCCAUCUGAUUUAAGAAAACAAAAAGAGAAAGUGGAAGAAGCCUUUGCUAGACAUGAAGAGAGAUACGGAGAAGAUAGUGAGAAGAUCCAAAGGUGGCGAAAUGCUUUAAUUCAAGUGGCUGGAAUCAAGGGAUGGCAUUUAAAUAACAGGUAACUCUUUCUUUUCUUCUCUAUUUUCUAUUUUUUGGGAUAUAUAUGUAUAACUUUUUUCUUUCUUUCUAAUCCUAUGUGUUUCCAGUCUUGGUUCUUGUUUGCUUCCAAACUCUAUUAUGUUUCAUGAUUCAUUGAAAAAGAAAGUGCAUUUGAUAAUAUGAAAAAAAAAAUUAUUCAAAAAAUUAAAAUUUCUUUUCUUGUAGGCAUGAAUCGGAAUUUAUUAGAGAGAUUAUUAAGAAGAUAUCAGCAAAACUAUGUCACCUAGUUACUCAUAGUCACUUGGUUGGAAUGACUGAACGCUUGGAGGAUUUAUAUUUGAAAAUAAACAUUGGGGAAAAUGAUGUCCACAUUAUAGGGAUUUGCGGAAUGGGUGGUAUCGGUAAAACCACACUCGCAAGACUUGCUUAUAAUCAAAUGUCACAUCAUUUUGAAAGUAAAAGCUUUAUUGCUGAUGUUCGAGAAGUUUCAGACAAAUGUGGAUUAGUUUCUUUACAGAAACAACUUCUUUCGGAGAUUUUUCAUGAUGAAUGCUUCAAAUUUUUCAAUGUUCAUGAAGGGAAUGAUAUAAUUAGUCAUAUGUUGUCUCGCAAAAAGGUUCUUGUUGUUCUUGAUGAUGUUGAUAACAUUCAACACUUAAAAUGCUUGGUUGGAAGGCAUGAUUGGUUCGGAUUAGGGAGUAGAAUCAUUGUAACAACAAGAGAAGAACAUUUGCUUCGAUCUUGGCCAGUUGAUGAUUUGUAUGAGCCCACAACAUUGAAUCCCAAAGAUGCGCUUCAACUUUUCAGUCUGAAAGCUUUUCAUAGUGAUACAGUGCCGAAAGGUGAUUUCAUUGAGCUUUCUUGCCAUGUUGUAAAAUAUGCUGGUGGGCUCCCGUUAGCUCUUGAAAUUUUGGGUUGCUUUUUAUGCGGUAGAGAUGCGACUCAAUGGAGAAGUGCAAUUGAAAGACUUAAAAGAGAUUCUAAUAAAGAAAUUCUCGAUAAACUUCGAAUUAGUUUUGAUGGACUGGAAGAAAGGGAGAAGAAUAUAUUUCUAGAUAUAGCAUGCUUCUUCAAUGGGAAGGAGAAAGAUUUUGUAAUGAAAGUAUUGGAUGGUUGUGAGUUUUUCCCAAAUAUUGGCAUUGAUGUUCUCAUUAAAAAAUCUCUUAUAAAAGUUCUCAUUAAAAAAUCUCUCAUAGAAGUCGAUGAACACAAAUAUUUGUGGAUGCAUAACUUGUUGCAAGAAAUGGGAAGAAAAAUUGUUAGAGAAAAAUGUGUUGAUGAACCUGGAAAACGUUGUAGAUUGUGGGAGGGAAGAGACGUCCAUCAUGUCCUAACAAAAAACACUGUAAUUUUGAGAUAAGUCAUGUUUGAUGUUUACAAAUAUUAAAAAGGAUUUGUAGAAAUUUCAUUGCAUUACCCUUUUUAGAGCAUAAUAUUUGUAGAAAUUGUUUUACUACGUUUAAAAUGCUUUAUUUAUUAUAUUUAGAAUAUAAUAAUGCUGAAUAAAAAUGUAAGUUUCUAAAAGUUUUAUCCUACAUUAUACACCAUUUAUUUUGUUUUCUUAUUUUCUAUUCUUGAUUUUUCUUAGGGUACAAAAAUGAUUGAAGGUAUAGUCAUCGAUAAUAUAAG
Molecule: long non-coding RNA, 2020 nt
Filed under: Gossypium barbadense (sea-island cotton)
Lineage: Eukaryota; Viridiplantae; Streptophyta; Magnoliopsida; Malvales; Malvaceae
Description: long non-coding RNA (GBAR_LNC021299)
Source: RNAcentral